Molecule: long non-coding RNA, 203 nt
Filed under: Salvia miltiorrhiza (redroot sage)
Lineage: Eukaryota; Viridiplantae; Streptophyta; Magnoliopsida; Lamiales; Lamiaceae
Description: long non-coding RNA (SMIL_LNC010015)
Source: RNAcentral
AAGUGAUGCCUGGGGAGGUCGAUCUACGCGUGGGAAAUGGAGCAAGAGUUGCUGCUGAACGCGUGGGGACUUAUAGAUUAGAUCUUCCUUCGGGAAAUAGACUUGUUUUAAGUAAUUGUUACUUCGUUCCUUCUAUUUCUAAGAAUAUUAUUUCCAUUCCGAUGUUGGACAUUGAAGGCUUUUCCUUCCAUUUUGGAAACAGU